UAUAGCGAUCACAUAGGUUAUAAAUGAAUAAUUCAAUCAACCUAUAAUCAACGUACGUAAAUAUUAUGUUUUUCGCGUGAUCUAUAUUAUGACUAAUAUUUUUACGUAUUUUUUGUAGAUUGAAGACGAUAUAAUUAUGAAAAAUUCAAAUUGUACAACAAAAAAAAUAUUCAUAAUUUUAGUAUUGGCGUUUAUUAAUACAAUAACUAUACAAGCCGGAAUGUUUGGUACAAAACAGACUUUAAUAACAUACGCCUAACAUUUACGGCACAACCGAUCAUGUUCAGGAAUUAUAUAGGAUAGUUCCGCAAAUACAAGAAGUUGACAGCUCUUUUGUCGUAUCAUCUGAGGCUCAACAACUGCUUGAAUUUUUUAUAAA
Molecule: long non-coding RNA, 379 nt
Organism: Acyrthosiphon pisum (pea aphid)
Lineage: Eukaryota; Metazoa; Arthropoda; Insecta; Hemiptera; Aphididae
Exons: 2
Source: RefSeq, a predicted model, not a curated record